Mustela erminea (ermine) is the source of this 338-nucleotide long non-coding RNA. RefSeq lists it as uncharacterized. Lineage: Eukaryota; Metazoa; Chordata; Mammalia; Carnivora; Mustelidae. The record is from RefSeq and is a predicted model, not a curated record. The transcript has 3 exons.
CGUUUGUAGGCGUGGCCCGGCUCUAUGGGGAAACUGACUUGCCAGGAGGCAGGUGUCUCACCAGUAAUUGUCCAGCUGAGGCCAACCACUGCCACAGGACUGCGGGAUUGGUGACACAAAUCUGCAGAGCCCAGUGCAAAGUGAAAUUGCAAGACCCCUCACUCGAAAACACAGGGAUAUGGGUGGGUCUACUGCAGACCCUUACAGGUACCGGGGACCUGCACCCCAGGACUCAGUGUGAAUGUGUGUUUUGGAACAAGAUGUCAGCAAUUGCUGGGCAAAGACAAGAAAAUAAGAAGGCAGAGUACUCAAGUGGAGGAUGUAGGAGGCAGGGCCAA